CAAAUUCCGAUUAUACAGCACAACAGCAAUUUAAAGGACCACAACAAAUUACAAGUGAUGAUCUUAUUGAGUUUAGAUAGAAAGCCACAUAUAUGUUGCAAUCAGUUGACAAAAUACCUCCUUCCAACUUCUACCAGAAUCAACAAACCUAAAUGCAGAAGGAUGCUAUCACAACUGAAGUUAUUAGUUUAAACGAACAAACUAUGAUAGUAAAACCAGAUUGCAACGCAGCUCCUUAAGUCAAUUUGUGGAUGGUUUUCAUAUCAAUGACUUCCUUGAGAGUUCCUUUCUCAAGAUGAUCCCACCACUUGAACAAAAAGUUGUCAACGACAAGUCUGAACCAAGGGGAUAGCUUCAGACCUUCCUCACCUGCAUCUGCUUUCCUCAAAAGCUCUUUCAGUUGUUCUCUGUUCACGUACUUAACCUCAGCAACUUCAUCUGGGUUAGGUUUCAUGUUAACUUCACGGACCAUGAAUAGUAGAUAAUCAAGUUCGUGCUCUCCCCACUUCCCGUCAGAUGGAGCUUUAUAAAGUAUACGACCCAAUGGAAUGAACUGGUCAACUGGGACAUCUUCACCUGGAAUACCCAAUUCAUCGAGAAGCUUCCUUUGUGCAGCAUUUCUUACCCCAAGAGAAUUCUCCUCAAUUAGCUCAGACUCUCGGUAUAGUGGAUGGCUGCAGCAAGUGUUGGUCCAUACCAAAGGAAAGGUCACCUUUGUCGCUGAUCGUUGCUGAAGAAGCAAUUCAUAUUUUGAGUUGAAUAUAAAGACACUGAAAGCUCUAUGCAGCAAAUUUUCAGCUUCAAUCUUUUCCAUUAAAUGACAAUUAUACUUGGUGUCAUGACCAACAACAUGGUCAUUCUCAUCCACCAGAAUACACUCGUCUUCAAACAUGAGACGGCGCUGUACGGCAUCCAUAUUAGCAUCAGAAAUAGCAUCAGCCAUAGUUGUAGUAGAGGCGGCGGAAUAGCACCGGAAACGGCAACGGAGAGAGGAAACAGGUAGGGUAUUAUUAGGAAGAAGAGAAGAUUUGGGUAGCCGGAGUGAAGAAUGAGAAGUUAUAGGGGAGGCGAUGAACCUCCGCAAGAAUUGUAAAGAAGCUGAAGCAGUAGUCAGCGACAUCGGCUUGUUCCCAUCAAUUCCUCUCAAUUCCUUUUCUUCUGCUUCUCCCCUUAUAUUGUUGGAUUUUCU
Molecule: unclassified non-coding RNA, 1189 nt
Filed under: Hevea brasiliensis (rubber tree)
Lineage: Eukaryota; Viridiplantae; Streptophyta; Magnoliopsida; Malpighiales; Euphorbiaceae
Source: RNAcentral